RNAcentral lists this ribosomal RNA (252 nucleotides) under uncultured bacterium. RNAcentral describes it as "partial 16S ribosomal RNA". It matches the Rfam family "Bacterial small subunit ribosomal RNA", at positions 524 to 776 of the family's 1533-position model. The record is from RNAcentral.
UACAGAGGGGGCAAGCGUUGUUCGGAAUUACUGGGCGUAAAGGGCGCGUAGGCGCCUGUUAAGUCGAACGUGAAAUCCCCGGGCUCAACCCGGGAACUGCGUCCGAUACUGGCAGGCUUGAAUCCGGAAGAGGCGAGUGGAACUCCUGGUGUAGCGGUGGAAUGCGCAGAUAUCAGGAAGAACACCAACGGCGAAGGCAGCUCGCUGGGACGGUACUGACGCUGAGACGCGAAAGCGUGGGGAGCGAACAGG